Homarus americanus (American lobster) is the source of this 243-nucleotide long non-coding RNA. RefSeq lists it as uncharacterized. The record is from RefSeq and is a predicted model, not a curated record. The transcript is spliced from 3 exons. NCBI's taxonomy places the organism in Eukaryota, Metazoa, Arthropoda, Malacostraca, Decapoda, Nephropidae.
UGACCACUGGACCACUUAUAGUGAUGGUCGUGGUGAGGAGUUAUUAGCGGGCAACAGCAACACCUACUUGGCCCAGACCUCACAGUUAAGUCCGCCCAUCAUAGCGGCCAGGGUCAGGUUUGUCCCCUACAGCGACCACCCGAGGACUGUCUGUAUGAGAGUCGAGCUGUACGGCUGUCGCUAUACAGACGGACUGGUAUCAUACACGAUGCCUGACGGUGACCCCAAGGCGGCGACUACAAC